Pararge aegeria (speckled wood butterfly) is the source of this 263-nucleotide long non-coding RNA. RefSeq lists it as uncharacterized. NCBI's taxonomy places the organism in Eukaryota, Metazoa, Arthropoda, Insecta, Lepidoptera, Nymphalidae. The record is from RefSeq and is a predicted model, not a curated record. The transcript is spliced from 2 exons.
GAAACUUGUGACUGUAUGCAAUACAGUAGAGCGCUGUAAAAGUAUAUUGGAAUAAUGUUUCAGGGAUGCUGGUCACAAUUUGUGCAAUACCUUAAAUGGGUCACAAGUUAAUAAAAGAUAAAAUUUUUAAAAGAAAAUAGAAUGGAAUGAAAACCUCCUAGCUUUAGUUUUAAGUUAAAAAAUGUAGUUCGCACCACCAUGAUAAGUACAAGUUCAUAAGCACCUGUGAUAUGCGUACAUGAAUAAAGAAUUUAAGAAUUUUA